Molecule: ribosomal RNA, 495 nt
Filed under: uncultured bacterium
Lineage: Bacteria
Description: partial 16S ribosomal RNA
Rfam family: Bacterial small subunit ribosomal RNA
Source: RNAcentral
UGAACGCUGGCGGCGUGCCUAAUACAUGCAAGUCGAGCGAACGGACGCGAAGCUUGCUUCUCUGAUGUUAGCGGCGGACGGGUGAGUAACACGUGGAUAACCUACCUAUAAGACUGGGAUAACUUCGGGAAACCGGAGCUAAUACCGGAUAAUAUUUUGAACCGCAUGGUUCAAAAGUGAAAGACGGUCUUGCUGUCACUUAUAGAUGGAUCCGCGCUGCAUUAGCUAGUUGGUAAGGUAACGGCUUACCAAGGCAACGAUGCUUAGCCGACCUGAGAGGGUGAUCGGCCACACUGGAACUGAGACACGGUCCAGACUCCUACGGGAGGCAGCAGUAGGGAAUCUUCCGCAAUGGGCGAAAGCCUGACGGAGCAACGCCGCGUGAGUGAUGAAGGUCUUCGGAUCGUAAAACUCUGUUAUUAGGGAAGAACAUAUGUGUAAGUAACUGUGCACAUCUUGACGGUACCUAAUCAGAAAGCCACGGCUAACUACGUG